This 462-nucleotide ribosomal RNA is filed under the name uncultured bacterium. Its description in RNAcentral is "partial 16S ribosomal RNA". It matches the Rfam family "Bacterial small subunit ribosomal RNA", at positions 28 to 507 of the family's 1533-position model. The record is from RNAcentral.
GACGAACGCUGGCGGCGUGCUUAACACAUGCAAGUCGAGCGGAAAGGCCCUUCGGGGUACUCGAGCGGCGAACGGGUGAGUAACACGUGAGUAACCUGCCCUAGGCUUUGGGAUAACCCCGGGAAACCGGGGCUAAUACCGGAUAUGACCUGGUGCCGCAUGGUGUUGGGUGGAAAGUUUUUUCGGCCUGGGAUGGGCCCGCGGCCUAUCAGCUUGUUGGUGGGGUGAUGGCCUACCAAGGCGAUGACGGGUAGCCGGCCUGAGAGGGCGACCGGCCACACUGGGACUGAGACACGGCCCAGACUCCUACGGGAGGCAGCAGUGGGGAAUAUUGCACAAUGGGCGGAAGCCUGAUGCAGCGACGCCGUGUGAGGGAUGAAGGCCUUCGGGUUGUAAACCUCUUUCAGCAGGGACGAAGCGUGAGUGACGGUACCUGCAGAAGAAGCGCCGGCCAACUACGUG